UACGGGGGGUGCGAGCGUUGUCCGGAAUCACUGGGCGUAAAGGGCGCGUAGGUGGCCCGACAAGUCAGUGGUGAAAGUUCGACGCUUAACGUCGAAUCGGCCACUGAUACUGUUGGGCUGGAGCACUGUAGAGGCUCAUGGAAUUCCGGGUGUAGUGGUGAAAUGCGUAGAGAUCCGGAGGAACCCCAGAGGCGAAGGCGGCGUCCUGGCUCGCAUCUGACGCUCAGACACGACAGCAUGGGGAGCGAACGGG
Molecule: ribosomal RNA, 253 nt
Filed under: uncultured bacterium
Lineage: Bacteria
Description: partial 16S ribosomal RNA
Rfam family: Bacterial small subunit ribosomal RNA
Source: RNAcentral